AGGGCACCACCAGGAGUGGAGCCUGCGGCUUAAUUUGACUCAACACGGGGAAACUCACCCGGCCCGGACACCGGAAGGAUUGACAGAUUGAUAGCUCUUUCUUGAUUCGGUGGAUGGUGGUGCAUGGCCGUUCUUAGUUGGUGGAGCGAUCUGUCUGGUUAAUUCCGAUAACGAACGAGACUCUAGCCUAUUAAAUAGACGUCGGGUUCUCUGCACUCGACGGUCUUCUUAGAGGGACAAGGUGCUUUUAGCACCGCGAAACAGAGCAAUAACAGGUCUGUGAUGCCCUUAGAUGUCCGGGGCCGCACGCGCGCUACACUGAAGGAAGCAGCGUGUAACAACUUUAUUCUAACGAACUGGGUAACCCGUGGAACUUCCUUCAUGAUUGGGAUAGGGGUUUGCAAUUGUGCCCCUUGAACGAGGAAUUCCCAGUAAACACUAGUCAUCAGCUAGUGCUGAUUACGUCCCUGCCCUUUGUACACACCGCCCGUCGCUACUACCGAUUGAAUGGCAGAGUGA
RNAcentral lists this ribosomal RNA (519 nucleotides) under uncultured eukaryote. RNAcentral's name for it is "SSU rRNA". It matches the Rfam family "Eukaryotic small subunit ribosomal RNA", at positions 1161 to 1704 of the family's 1831-position model. The record is from RNAcentral.